This 429-nucleotide ribosomal RNA is filed under the name uncultured bacterium. RNAcentral's name for it is "bacterial SSU rRNA". It matches the Rfam family "Bacterial small subunit ribosomal RNA", at positions 355 to 776 of the family's 1533-position model. The record is from RNAcentral.
UGGGGAAUAUUGGACAAUGGGCGAAAGCCUGAUCCAGCGACGCCGCGUGGGUGAAGAAGGCCUGCGGGUUGUAAAGCCCUUUCGGUGGGGAAGAAAAGCCUCGAGCUAAUACCUCGGGGUCUUGACGUAACCCAUAGAAGAAGCACCGGCUAACUCUGUGCCAGCAGCCGCGGUAAUACAGAGGGUGCGAGCGUUAAUCGGAAUUACUGGGCGUAAAGCGCGCGUAGGCGGCUUUGCAAGUCGGAUGUGAAAUCCCCGGGCUUAACCUGGGAACUGCAUUCGAGACUGCAUUGCUAGAGUAUGGGAGAGGGAAGUGGAAUUUCAGGUGUAGCGGUGAAAUGCGUAGAUAUCUGAAGGAACAUCAGUGGCGAAAGCGACUUCCUGGACCAAUACUGACGCUCAUGUGCGAAAGCGUGGGGAGCAAACAGG